CGCCGGACCCGACUGCUAUCGGGGUAGGACUAAGCCAUGCGAGUCGAAGGCCCCCGGGAACGUGGUGGGCCUGGCGCACGGCUCAGUAUACGUAGCUAACCUGCCCUGGGGAGGGGGAUAAUCCCGGGAAACUGGGGCUAAUCCCCGAUAGGCCUAGGCACCUGGAAUGGGCCUAGGCCGAAACGGGCUAGCGCACAUCCCGCGCUAGCACCGCCCCAGGAUGGGGCUGCGGCCCAUAUGGUAGUUGGUGGGGUAAAGGCCCACCAAGCCUAUAACGGGUACGGGCUCUGAGAGGAGGAGCCCGGAGAUGGGCACUGAGACAAGGGCCCAGGCCCUACGGGGCGCAGCAGGCGCGAAACCUCCGCAAUGCAGGAAACCGCGAUCGGGUCACCCCGAGUCUCUCCCGCAGAGGUCGGCUUUUCCGAAACCGUAAAGGCCCCCGAAUAAGGGGAGGGCAACCCUGUUGUCAGCCGCCGCGGUAAUACCACCUCCCCAAUUGGUCGGGACAAUUAUUGGGCCUAAAGCGCCCGUAGCCGGCCCGGUGUGUCCCCUGUCAAAUCCACCGGCUCAACCGGUGGGCUGCUGGGGAUACUACCGGGCUAGGAGGCGGGAGAGGCCGGGGGUAUUCCCGGGGUAGGGGUAAAAUCCUCUGAUCCCGGGAGGACCGCCAGUGGCGAAGGCGCCCGGCCAGAACGCGCUCGACGGUGAGGGGCGAAAGCUGGGGGAGCGAACCGGAUUAGAUACCCGGGUAGUCCCACCUGUAAACGAUGCGGGCUAGGUGC
RNAcentral lists this ribosomal RNA (782 nucleotides) under uncultured archaeon. RNAcentral describes it as "bacterial SSU rRNA". It matches the Rfam family "Archaeal small subunit ribosomal RNA", at positions 15 to 774 of the family's 1478-position model. The record is from RNAcentral.